UGAUAAUAAUAAUAACAUCAUAAGACUUACCUUUAUAUAAUGAUUCCAAAAAGAAACACUAAGCACUAAUACUCAAGCUCAAAUAAUAUUUCACCACCUCUAUCACAAUGCAUCAAAAUAGUGGUCUGGUCCGCCAAUUAUAUUAUCAUAAAGUCAACAAAACUGUAUGUGACAAGGAUAUGUACUGAAAAGAACAGAAAAGUAAUUAUCGUUAAUUAUGUAACUGAACAUAAAUAUGAUGAAUAAAAACAUUCAAGAACUUAAUGGUAAAUUACACUGUCUUUUUAUUUGAAUCAAGAAAAAAAACAAUAGACCUAUCAAUUCUGUUACAAUUCCAACAAGUGAAUGAUUAAAUACAGAGAACAGUAUACAAAAAAGAAGAAAGAAAAAAAACACCAUGGACUAUGGAUCAAUUGGAAAAAAAGAGAUACAGUAUAUUAGUUUUUCUGCUCUUGGACAGCAGAAGUGUCUGAGAGUAAACAGUACUUUCAGUAAGGGUGUAACUCCUCUGGCUUUUUUUACUCAGUUCAUGUAAUAAUGUUCAAAUGUCAGCCAAAGGUGAGGUAAAAGGUCUGACCUACUAAUCUGAGCAUGGAGAGUUAAAGAGAAAGGAGAGAAUCGCCACAAGCCAUCAUCUACCAAGCAACCCCACUUUCUUCCCCUUUACUUCGAAUCGUCCCGCAGGUAUGUAGUGGCUCUCUUCAGAAGACAUAUUACCUGACCAAGUUGCUUCGUCAGGACUGGAACUAGAAACAGAGCCAUCUAGAACUUUUGGCCCAACUCUGGGAGAACUUCUGUUCGCCCUGACAUCCCUUUCACAACGUAAGCUCUCUCGUAGCAAUGCCCCUUUUGUCUGGGACUGAACUAUCGAAGGCCUUAACGCUGGAGUAUGUUGACUGACAUUUUCAUUAGGUAUAACUUCCAACUCUGAAUCACUGUCAGAGUCGAUGGCAAUGGGUUCUGAGGAGGAUCCAGGGCAUGUCUUGAAGGCACAGUUGCUUUGACUACUUUGUCCAGUGUUUAAUGGCUGCUUUGACCCUAUGAAGUCUGCUGGGAAACCAAUGGGAGACUUGAGCCUAAACGAUGAGGUCCUUGAGUAUCCACUUUUUUCAUCAUCAAAGACUUCAAACAGACAGCUGUCAUCAAAGCUCAUGUCAUGCUUGAUUUGGCUCAACAACCGCAUGUUAAAGCCCAGUAACACCACUGGUUUGCGGGAGGUAAAGUCCCGGUCACAUAAGCGGCGAUGGUUGCCAAAAUGGCUUGCAACAUCAGACUUCCACAACCAGAGGCUUGCAGCAAGUUUCUCAACCUCCCGUUGGGAGGGGUAGGGAUGUCGAUUGAAAUAUGCGGUGAGGAAAGCUUUACGCACUUCGUAGGAUUUGUCACCAUAACCUUUUGGAUCCAAGGCCAACACGAUUGGCUCUUCUGGCUUCUCAGCGAAGCCUGUAGGGUAAAACCUAGACUGGUCUACCAUCUUUCUUCUCUUUGGGUCAGAUGGAUCAGGGGUAACUAACUCGCGCUUCAGAGACCCAGCUCCAGGGGACCGCAGCCCAGUCGUGAUGGGCUUGGAGCCUUUGGGAGUCUGGCAAACACCCCGGCAGUGCACCAAAUGGAGAGUAAUGGUGGAAGCUGUCAUGUUGCUUGUGUACACACCCAGGCAGUGGAUGCACUUGUAGGUUAACUUUUUCUCUACAGGGUGCAAAGUUUGGAGAACCUGGUGACUAUCGCGUAAAUGAUGGGCAAGGGCAUCUGAGAUGGGCCCUUUUAGAAUAGUGAAGCACAGUGGGCAGAGUGUUUUUCCAACCUCUUUCUUUUGUGACACCGGUGACUGUGACAUGUUUCGCACCAAUGAAUCGCUUUGGGUAUCCGGCUGUCUUACAGACACCUUCACAGGUUUGGGCAUGGCGCUGUUUUGUGACAGUUGAUUGGCAGCUGCGGCAGCAGCGGCAGCUUCAGGUGUCUCCUUCAUAUUGUAGGUGGUUACUAAAAGCUGGACAUUUUUGAGAUUUCCUUGCUGAAGUGUGAGAUCGAAUGUUAGAGGAGAACCAGUUGGCUGAUCCCCUUGCUCAUUGGGGUGCGCCAGGCGAUUGUGUGCUACAAUUUUCUCAACCUCAUGAAAUGUGGAAUGACAAUGUGGGCAUGAUAGCCCAUGCACUAGCAUAUGGUUCAACAAAGAGUCACUUGGAAGGUAACGGUUACAGUACAGACACUUGCUUGUGAAAUUGUGUAUCUUCAUGAUGUAUUUAGCCAUCGCCCUCACCUUCUCUGCCUGAUGUUCCUUUUCAAAGUGAGCACUAUAUGCACUUUCGGGGAAUAGUUCAUUGCAGAUGGUACAGAUCUUCCACUUUUGUGUUUGUGAGGUGUUCAGAGCAUUGGCUGAAGCUUUCUUGGCCUGCAGUGAUGUCAAUGUGGCAGUAGCAGCAUGCACUGAUGAAGAAAGAGGUAGACUCUUCAGUGAGGGGGAGAAAGAAGCUGACUGAGCAUUAAGAUGUGCAGCACCAUGGACUCCAAAGCCGCCCAGGUGUUUUCCAGAGUGUGAAUGAGAGACUGCACUAGACACAAAAGCUUUAUCAGGUAGUGUAACGCGCACUGGCUGACCAGGCACAGAGUUGCCAGCAAGGCUUUGCUUAAAAUGGUUUCCAACAGGUAACCCCACCACUUUGGGCAUACUGAAGCGAUUCAUUUGAGGUGUUUGUGGACGCACGCCAGAAGUGAUAGGAACACCCCUUUGGAUUGGAUUCGUCUGGAGCCUCGGCACUAUGACAUUUGUGUGCCCGAUCAUAGCAGUGACUUGAUGGCCAAUGCGCUCAUGGAAUUCAAUGACGUGCUGCACCAGUGCUUCAUAAGAACGAGGUGUAAAGUGGCAGCUCUUGCAGUGAAUCCCAUGACUGUUGGCUUGGGCCUCUCCACUGUUUACUUGCUUCUCUGAGUUUUUUCCCAGGUAAGGUGUUGCCACGUGCUGGAAGUGUUCCCUGUAGAUGUGCCGGCGCACCACGUUGUACAGUCUAUCUCGAUAGGUGCACUUCUUGCAGUAGUACACCGGGAGCUCCUUUCGAUCACCCAGCAUGGGUUUGUCCACCCGCAUGCCAUCUUUAGCCCCUACUGGAGCUCCAUGAGGGCCAACGACACCCUGACGCAUCACAUUGUGAGGCAUAUGGAAGAGCCUGACGUGGGUUUCCAGAGUCCUCUUGUUCCCACUGUAUGUGCAAUAGGAGCAGUUAAGAAGUAUUCUGCUUUCAAAAUCUUCCCUGUGAACAUUGCGGAAGUGGUUUUUGUAGGCUGAAAAAUAUUUGGAGGCAAACGGGCAAUCUGAGCAGCAAAACUGCUUUGUUCUGUAGUCCUGCAACAUUUGAGAAACCAAGCAAAAUGUUAAUGCGGUGUAGGUUAUUUUUGCUUUGCUUUGCUUUGCUUUUCUGUUGCGGCGGAUGUGGCUGACAUACCUGAGACUUUGUCCAAGUUGGAUCCCAUGUACAAAGGUCAAGGUGAGACUCAUUCGAGUCAUCAGAAUCAUCGGGGUCUACGUCUUUGUAGUCCUACAGAGGAAAUGGACAGAAAAUAGCAUCAAUAAAGCUCAAGUGAUCAAUUAGUGUGAUGUCUCAGGUUUUUUUUUGUUUUUUUUUAUGUUCAAUUUGUCUGAGGGAAAAACAACAACAAAUAAAACACUGUUCAAAAGCAAUCACCUCCACAUGCUCUUUGCAGUAGUCAAGGCCAAUGUCACUCAGCAGUCUCUUGACUUUCUUCCUGGCCUUCCUCAACCGGGUGAGGUUAUUCACUGGAAGCUGAAACAUCUCUUCUAUGAAAAACCAUUAGGAAUAAGGAUUUUAGGUGAGCUGUCAGUUGUUGAAAAGGUGCACUCUGCAAUUUCAAUUGUUAUUGUGCAGACCAGUUGCACUUAAUGGUAUGAACGCAACAAAAACAUUUUUUUUUCUGUAAAAAUGUAAUUGCAAAAACAUUACAUUUGCAGGAAGCCAUGCUUAACUUAAGACUUUAAGAAUAGGGACUGUAUCCACUUAAAACACUACUGUUUCUGUCAUUGUGAUGUGCUUUAUAAAUGCGUGUUUUAAAAGCUUCAAAUUUAUUUGUGAACUGACUACCAAAAAAAUACAGAAAUAUAUGAUAAAAGUAUGUGUUUGUAAUGACAUAAGUAAAUGACAAUUUAUAUAUAUGUAAUAAAUCUUAAAACAGUUGUGCUACAACUUCAUAGCACACAAAAUUGUCUGUUUUAAAAGACUAAUAAAAUAUGCUUCUAUACCAUUCUAGGCAUGUUAAAUAUUCAUAUAACUUCCCUUUAAACGAUUCAGAAUAAUUCCAACAUUUGUGUUAAGGCCUCAUACUAAUAAAAAAGACAAAGCAUGCAUGUAAAUACGCAUUCAGUGCCAACAAAAAUAAACCGUUUGCUGAGACCAUCACAUUCUAGCAGAAGUAAAAUAGACACUUCUUCUGCAAGCAAUUAUUUAUAUACACCUUUUUAAAAAGGUUCUUCUGCAUUUCACAACUGCCCUUAAAACUCACAUUGAGUAGUUUAUAAUAAAAAAAUAAUAAAAGUAAUGCUGUUAGAUUGUUGGAAGACCUAACAUCUUUGUAUUCGUGCACUAAACAUGCAUUUUUUUGCAAAAUAUAAAAAACCCAUUUCGAUUUUAAACUGACUCCUGAUGCACAAUGCACGCACGCAUGCAGCUGCAUAUACUAAUGCUACUCCACUAGACAAUACAGGCCACAGCGGCCUUUUCAUGGACUCGGCAAAAUGAAACCCCGUUUAUUUUGACGAUACUCCAGCCUUGCAGGGGCCAACAUUUAAUAACUUAAUCGUGUGAGUAAUUUAUGAUUUCCCUCAAAAACUAACUUAGUUUAGCGAUUGCCAAUCUAUUCACAUAUAUGCAGUUAGCAUGUUAGCUUAGCCGCGGGAUGUUUCAUGUGCACACUGAACUCCACACAAAAGCACUGGUGCUAGAGACAGAAAACAGGCUUUUAUAACAACAUAUUACCUGCUUUUCUUCGCGGUCUCGCAUGGAAUUCCCUUGAAGGGCUUGGUUUUCGGCUCAAAUUAAAGUUAAAGACGAGAUGACUGAGAUAAAUUGUGGUUUAUUCGGCCCGGGCAGAUGCUGCAGUCUUUCGCGCCGCUGCCGCCGCCGGUGGAUUUCGGCAACUCAUCCUGAGAAUCCGCACCAUGUGCCUUCAGCUGGAUUCACACAAACCACCGGGCGGUUUCUGUCGAGCCCAUGAACCUAUUCACGAUUUGCGCGGUUUAGACGGGAAGUUAUGUGAAUUCGGAUGGGAUACAGGGCAAAGAAGAGACUUUUUUUCCCUCGUCGAGGCUGUUCCAGAUACCAGCCCAGCCUGUUCAAAAUGGCGGACGCUCGCAAACGGAAAUGACAUAUAUUUUUGUGAAGUUCAAAAGGGGCCACGCUGAUGUCUGAGGCCUUUCAUCGACAUCACACAAUUCAGAAAGACGGCGCCGUCUGCGAAAGUUAAUGCAGAACUGAUACAGCAGCCCGCUGUCGAAGAAAUGGUGCUUCUGAGAGACUGAAAUGAAGAGGCAAAGGCAAACAUGAAGAGAUGAUCAUUUUACAUGGAGAUAUGCUGCGGUGAAACAGGACCAGUAUGGAGGACGUGGAAGCCCGUCUUUCCCAGCGCAGACACACAGGCUUUAGGCUUCAGGAGGCAUUAUCAGACCUGAGCAUCAUCAGGUCAGCACUUUUCCAUCAGGGCAUCAGAAACUCACAGUCUGUACCGUCGGCCAAUGAUGAGGAACUGACGAGGUCUGAGGUGACAUUUCACAGCUACAAGUGCAAACCACCAACAUUCAUCUUCACAUAAUGAGUCUGCAUUGUCUAGAUGCGUUUAGUAAAAGAUGACACAAUAUACAUAAACAAAUAGACAAACAAAGAGGAUCUAGUUUUUAUUUAAAUGCAGCUUAAUGUAUUCAAACACCAUAUAAAGGUCAUUGGUUUUAGUGCCAUUUAAAUUCAUGUGUUGAACUUAUUUCAUGUUGUUUUGUUUAAAAUAGGUAAAAACUAUGAUAACAAGUGAACAAUAAACUGUGAAGCAGAGAUGCCA
RNAcentral lists this long non-coding RNA (6057 nucleotides) under Danio rerio (zebrafish). RNAcentral describes it as "lncRNA (ENSDARG00000097733.2)". The record is from RNAcentral. Lineage: Eukaryota; Metazoa; Chordata; Actinopteri; Cypriniformes; Danionidae.